UGCUUCUCUGAUGUUAGCGGCGGACGGGUGAGGAACACGUGGAUAACCUACCUAUAAGACUGGCAUAACUUCGGGAAACCGGAGCUAAUACCGGAUAAUAUUUUGAACCGCAUGGUUCAAAAGUGAAAGACGGUCUUGCUGUCACUUAUAGAUGGAUCCGCGCUGCAUUAGCUAGUUGGUAAGGUAACGGCUUACCAAGGCUGCGAUGCAUAGCCGAUCUGAGAGGGUGAUCGGGCACCCUGGAACUGACACACGGUCCAGACUCCUACGGGAGGCAGCGGUAGGGAAUCUUCCGCAAUGGGCGAAAGCCUGACGGAGCAACGCCGCGUGAGUGAUGAAGGUCUUCGGAUCGUAAAACUCUGUUAUUAGGGAAGAACAUAUGUGUAAGUAACUGUGCACAUCUUGACGGUACCUAAUCUAAAUGCCACGGCUAACUACGUGCCAUCCGCCGCGGGAAUACGUAGGUGGCAAGCGUUGUCCGGAAUUAUUGGGCGUAAAGCGCGCGUAGGCGGAUUUUUAAGUCUGAUGUGAAAGCCCACGGCUCAACCGU
Molecule: ribosomal RNA, 550 nt
Filed under: Staphylococcus aureus
Lineage: Bacteria; Bacillati; Bacillota; Bacilli; Caryophanales; Staphylococcaceae
Description: bacterial SSU rRNA
Rfam family: Bacterial small subunit ribosomal RNA
Source: RNAcentral